AGGGCGGUAGUUCAAUGGUAGAACGGCGGUCUCCAAAACCGCUAAUGGGGGUUCGAUUCCUCUCCGCCCUG
Molecule: transfer RNA, 71 nt
Filed under: Candidatus Hydrogenedentota bacterium
Lineage: Bacteria; Pseudomonadati; Candidatus Hydrogenedentota
Description: Candidatus Hydrogenedentes bacterium tRNA-Trp
Rfam family: tRNA
About the family: Transfer RNA (tRNA) molecules are approximately 80 nucleotides in length. Their secondary structure includes four short double-helical elements and three loops (D, anti-codon, and T loops).
Source: RNAcentral